This 482-nucleotide long non-coding RNA is filed under the name Nicotiana benthamiana. RNAcentral's name for it is "long non-coding RNA (NBEN_LNC006028)". The record is from RNAcentral. Lineage: Eukaryota; Viridiplantae; Streptophyta; Magnoliopsida; Solanales; Solanaceae.
GAAGACUGGAUUAGUUGGAUAGAUCAGGCCGUUAAGUCCAAAAUAUAUGUCAUGAUCAUUAAACUAGUUAUUGAAAAAAUGAUGAAAAAAAAUUCUUCCUUCUGUCCUUCCGAAAGAGCCAUUUCUUGUUGAUACUCAUUUCUUUGCAUCAUUGUAUCCUCCACUUUGAGACCAUCCUUGUCAAAACAAGCAAGAAAAGGUGUCAAAAUCUGCUACCAGCUUUUCAGUUGCACAAAGUAAAUUUUGCCAGCGCACUCAGCUGUUACUGUCAGCAUGCCUUGAGGAUUCAUGCAAAGUCUCCCCCAAAAGACUAUUGUCAUCCUACUUGGUGCAAGAAAUAUAACUGGUGAUUCUCUCUGACAUACAAAUUGCUCAAAAGCAAGGUCAUUCAAGAUACAGAAAAGGUCACUUGAGCAAAUAUCUCCAGUUGGGACAAGGCUCGUUGAGCCGCAAAUACAAAUAGUUCUAGGUGUAAAACAAUC